UUAACAUCAAGGGAUAAAUCCCGAAAUGGCUCAGUCUGUUUUUGUAAACGGGCGUUAAAUGGUCGUUGAGCGGCGGAAGUGCGUCGGCUGGUUUCUUUCUACUUUAUUUUUGUUGGUUGUUGGCAGUUCACCAGUGAAUUUGUUUUGCAAGCAAAUUUCAAAGGCAUACACGGUCGGCUUGAGUUUUCAGCAGCAAAAUUAUAUAGUGAAACAGCACAAAAUGCUUUGAUACACACAAAAUAGAACAAAAAAAGAUUUUAACGAAAGAUAAAACAUUUGAGUAACAAGCUACUAAAAAAAAAUAAAUAAAUUCAAUAAAAAUCGCAAUUCAUCGAAAACGCCUACGCGUUAGUGCUGCCUCGAGUGCAAUUUGUUUUCGUGGCCAACAAUUCAAAAAAAAAAAAACAAUUAGCGAUUGGUUUCGGUCGCUUGGUUCUGAACCAUUGCCUCUGUGCUUGUUUGUAGUCGCUUGUGUGUGUGUGUGCGCGCGUACGUGAGUCGAUCAGCUGUGGCUUGUGGCGUAAAAUGCCGCUGUUGGCCACCACAUUAUUAUGAUGGAGACAUUCAUUGUCCUUGGGCUAUGUUUCAUUCUAUACGAAGCACUGGAUUUCUUUCAAGGAUGCAUGCAUAGUACAUCACCCAAUUCAACCGAUCAAAUCGAAGCGUAUCGCCGCCAACUGGACGAGCAGCGACAGCAGCAGCAACAAGAGCAGUUCAUCGCCAAUUUAACGCCGCUCUUGGGCGCCCAAUUGUUGGCUGCCACCUCCAACAUUUCACUCUCGCCCAGCGAAUCCUCAGCGAGCAUCAUAAGUGAACAGCUGCGCGCACAACAACAACGCGAACAGCUCGAACAGCUACGUAGCAGCAGUAGCGUGCGCAGUGAACGUAGCAAUAGCGAUAACUCAGCUAGCACGCCAGCGCUCCACAGCAGCGGUUUGGGUAGCACUUUUGGUUCAGCGGCUGGUAGUGGCAGCUUAAGCGCGGCUAGCGCAAGCGUUGGUAGUGUCGGCAGCAGUGGUGGUGCUGCCUUUCGGCCCGCCUAUCGUAGCGUCUACGAGUCACAAGAGUUGUACGCUACCUCAUCGCUGCCGCGCGACUACUACUUCCUGCAACAGCAGCAGCAGAAGAACAAACAUUCGGCGCGUUCACUUUUCUCGAAAUUUGGUGCCUCCAAUUCGGAUAAUCGCAUUUUUCCCGAAACAGCUUCGGUGCUGGGCGUGCCUGCGGGUGUGAUUACCCAACAGCCAGUCGCGAGCGUAAAUCACUUUGAUUGCUUACCGCCCACGGCGACACCUGCUUCGCCUCUGGCAGUAGACUUAAAGCGCGCCAUAUUGAGUAAGAAUAAUUAUAAUAGCAAAAACAAAAACAAUAAAAACGCAACAAACAACGAAAAGAAACGCACAGGGGGUGUGGAAAGUGUGCAGGUGCAUGGUUUGGCGGUAAUAGCCAGUCCAUCGCGUGAUCCACCCAACCCUGCACGUGCUAUCGAACGAGAGAAGCCACGAAAUCGUAUUGCCUCAGCUGCCAACGUUACCGCGAGCGCGUUGCGUAGGCACGAAAGUGACGCCAGUUCAUCGGAUUGUGAAUCGGACUCGAGUGGUGAGUCAUCUGACUCCUCGGCAUCCGCAUCGGCCGGUUCCGCGUCGCUAGCCUCGUGCGGUGAGGACAGUGAUCCUGGGCUAGGCGAAGAACGUGAAUUCGGUCUAUCAAAUUCGGGUUCGUCGUCGCAUGCGGACUUUCGGGAAAUCGAAUGUGAACGUUUGAGACGCAAGUGCGUGAGUGUGAAACGCAUCUACAGUAUAUCGGAGAAGUUUUGAAGUCAAAGUGAGAGAAAUGUGUCACGAAACGGUAAAUGACUGCUUUAGAGCAAAGAGUUUGAAGUUGUAAAAAAAGUACCGAUUAGAAAUAUAAGACUAAACAAAAAUACAAAUGUCAUGGUAUGUAGCACUCGAGUGAAAUGUAACAUUUUUAUAGAACUCUAACUUUGGAAAAGCGAAAAAAAACUAAAAUCAAAAUUACAACGUACAAAAAGUAAAAAAACAAAAAACCGCUAACAAUGUUAUGAACCAACGUAGUGAGAACAGAUUCAAAUUCUAGAGAAAGUGACUCAGAAAUUGCAGGCGAAACUAGGAUAGUAAACAAGUACAGUAGUAGUCUACAUAAAUAAAACGGAGUUGUUUACAUAUGUACAUAACGAAAUAGCUACAAAACGAAGUCAAGUGCAUUUUUUCGUAUAAUAAUUAAACUGCCUACUAAGUAGGCUAAAAGUCUAGUAACAACGAUAAAUAAAAAAAAAUUUGAAAAACUGCAAAUCCAGAAAAAAGUAAUGCGACUCAAAAUAUAAAAAGUAAUCAUUAAAAAACCAAAUCAUCCGAGAAACUUUCAGUAGAAUUUUAAUAGAUUCGCUAUUAAAAACGCAGCGUCAAAAUAAUAAAAGUAGUGUACAAAAUUUAAACGACAACUAAAAAAAAACACCAUGGUGCACUUAAAAAGCAAACUACAACAAAUAAGUAACAAUAACAAGAUUCAAAGCUUACAAAUGUAAAAUCAUCUUAUCCAAUAACAACUUAAUAAAUCACUAAAAAUUCGAAUAAACACCGCCAGCUUUUGUAUCAUAUCAAGAAUAUGGAUUCUUUGGAGCGCCUAUUGCGCGCAGCUCCUCUGCCGCGCACGCUGACAAGCGUGAAUGGUGCUGUCGCUAAGGGUCAACAACGCGCCUUGGUGCACGCCUCUUUGGCAGCAGCCACAGUCGGUCGUAAGGGACGUCAUUUAACUGGCACUUUUUGCCUUACCGGCGACACCAUGGAGGGUAUAAUACAGUGUUUGGUCUUCUUAAAAGCA
Molecule: RNA transcript, 2841 nt
Organism: Rhagoletis zephyria (snowberry fruit fly)
Lineage: Eukaryota; Metazoa; Arthropoda; Insecta; Diptera; Tephritidae
Source: RefSeq, a predicted model, not a curated record